CCCCCGGCUCAAUACAAAAGACCAUAUACAAAUAUUUAAUUAUAUGUAAAUUAACAGAUGAAGUACUACUAGAACUUGGUUAUCCAUGUACAACUUAGUCACUUAUUUAUCCAUUUAGAUGUUCAAGAAUAUCAAACUAUUUCAUGAAUUGGAUUUCAGAAAGAAGUCACAGUCUGGAUGGAAAACUCUUCGAUCAAAUCAAGCUCUUCUUUUCUUCAUUUAUUACGAGAUUCGGGAACAUCCUUUCAAUCAAAAUUCCAAUCAAAUAUUCCUAUAAAUUCAAAUAAUAUUCAACUUAGUCUCGAAUUUAUCACUUGCAAAUUCAAAAUAAAAUAGGAGAAUCACACCCCUUUCACAUUCAAAUAUAAGAAAAUCACACCUUUACAUAUUCAACAUAAAAUAGAGGAACUACACCCUUUCAAAUUAAGUUAAGAUAAAAUAAAAACUUACUAAUUCAUCUGCAGAAUAUAUGAGCUUGAGAUAGCCAAUUUAUUAGCUCACCCUUUCACAUGCAAAUAUAAGAAAAUCACACCUUGCAAAUUCAACAUGACAUAGAGGAAUUACAUCCCUUUCAAAUUAAGUUAAGAUAAAAUAAAAACUUAUCAAUUCAUCUGCAAAAUAUAUGAGCUUGAGAUAGCUAAUUUAUUAGCUCUUGAUGAUUUCCUAUUAUAAACCAUGAAAAAACUCAAUUUUUUGAAGGAAAACCCUAUAACUAGAAGAACAAAAUGGAAUGAAAAUUUUAUCUUAGCAAUGGUGAUAUG
This 761-nucleotide long non-coding RNA is filed under the name Capsicum annuum. Its description in RNAcentral is "long non-coding RNA (CANN_LNC015237)". Lineage: Eukaryota; Viridiplantae; Streptophyta; Magnoliopsida; Solanales; Solanaceae. The record is from RNAcentral.